RNAcentral lists this ribosomal RNA (1052 nucleotides) under Salmonella enterica. RNAcentral describes it as "partial 23S ribosomal RNA". It matches the Rfam family "Bacterial large subunit ribosomal RNA", at positions 711 to 1760 of the family's 2925-position model. The record is from RNAcentral. Lineage: Bacteria; Pseudomonadati; Pseudomonadota; Gammaproteobacteria; Enterobacterales; Enterobacteriaceae.
AGACCCGAAACCCGGUGAUCUAGCCAUGGGCAGGUUGAAGGUUGGGUAACACUAACUGGAGGACCGAACCGACUAAUGUUGAAAAAUUAGCGGAUGACCUGUGGCUGGGGGUGAAAGGCCAAUCAAACCGGGAGAUAGCUGGUUCUCCCCGAAAGCUAUUUAGGUAGCGCCUCGUGAAUUCAUCUCCGGGGGUAGAGCACUGUUUCGGCUAGGGGGCCAUCCCGGCUUACCAACCCGAUGCAAACUGCGAAUACCGGAGAAUGUUAUCACGGGAGACACACGGCGGGUGCUAACGUCCGUCGUGAAGAGGGAAACAACCCAGACCGCCAGCUAAGGUCCCAAAGUCAUGGUUAAGUGGGAAACGAUGUGGGAAGGCCCAGACAGCCAGGAUGUUGGCUUAGAAGCAGCCAUCAUUUAAAGAAAGCGUAAUAGCUCACUGGUCGAGUCGGCCUGCGCGGAAGAUGUAACGGGGCUAAACCAUGCACCGAAGCUGCGGCAGCGACGCUGAUGCGUUGUUGGGUAGGGGAGCGUUCUGUAAGCCUGCGAAGGUGGCCUGUGAGGGUUGCUGGAGGUAUCAGAAGUGCGAAUGCUGACAUAAGUAACGAUAAAGCGGGUGAAAAGCCCGCUCGCCGGAAGACCAAGGGUUCCUGUCCAACGUUAAUCGGGGCAGGGUGAGUCGACCCCUAAGGCGAGGCCGAAAGGCGUAGUCGAUGGGAAACGGGUUAAUAUUCCCGUACUUGGUGUUACUGCGAAGGGGGGACGGAGAAGGCUAUGUUGGCCGGGCGACGGUUGUCCCGGUUUAAGCGUGUAGGUGUGUGUUCCAGGUAAAUCCGGUUCACUUUAACACUGAGGCGUGACGACGAGGCACUACGGUGCUGAAGCAACAAAUGCCCUGCUUCCAGGAAAAGCCUCUAAGCAUCAGGUAACACGAAAUCGUACCCCAAACCGACACAGGUGGUCAGGUAGAGAAUACCAAGGCGCUUGAGAGAACUCGGGUGAAGGAACUAGGCAAAAUGGUGCCGUAACUUCGGGAGAAGGCACGCUGACACGUA